UUUGAAGCAGACCCCGUAAGCAUCCUUCUUUCAUGAUGAUCCUCUAAUGAUCUGUCAACACCAGGCUCUGAGGGAAGCAUUAGAUUUGAUGCAGGCAAUGGAAGCUUCUCGUCACCAUGAGCAGCCCCAAAAGAAGACUGUGGCUUACCUUGUCUUCGAACCAUCAUUCUUCUAGGUUGACAUGACAAAAACACCUCAAAAUCACUUCCACUUUCAGAACCAAGGUCAUAAGCAGAGUUUAAUGUGGUUUCUGAGUUCUCAACAUCUUUACAUAGAAAAGCAGCCUCAAUCAUGGCCACUU
This 301-nucleotide unclassified non-coding RNA is filed under the name Hevea brasiliensis (rubber tree). The record is from RNAcentral. Lineage: Eukaryota; Viridiplantae; Streptophyta; Magnoliopsida; Malpighiales; Euphorbiaceae.